GGAGGAGUGCGCCGAAUGGUAAGGCACUCGCUUGGAAAGCGAGCGGGCUGAUGCCCUUGCAGGUUCGAGUCCUGUCUCCUACG
RNAcentral lists this transfer RNA (83 nucleotides) under bacterium. RNAcentral describes it as "tRNA-Ser". It matches the Rfam family "tRNA". From Rfam's summary of the family: Transfer RNA (tRNA) molecules are approximately 80 nucleotides in length. Their secondary structure includes four short double-helical elements and three loops (D, anti-codon, and T loops). The record is from RNAcentral.